AGAGUUUGAUCCUGGCUCAGGAUGAACGCUAGCGGCAGGCUUAAUACAUGCAAGUCGAGGGGCAGCACAGAUAGCAAUAUUGGGUGGCGACCGGCAAACGGGUGCGGAACACGUACACAACCUUCCUGUAAGUGGGGGAUAGCCCAGAGAAAUUUGGAUUAAUACCCCGUAGAAUUGUAGAGUGGCAUCGCUUAGCAAUU
RNAcentral lists this ribosomal RNA (200 nucleotides) under uncultured bacterium. RNAcentral describes it as "partial 16S ribosomal RNA". It matches the Rfam family "Bacterial small subunit ribosomal RNA", at positions 8 to 202 of the family's 1533-position model. The record is from RNAcentral.